CGGCGAACGGGUGAGUAACACGUAGGUAACCUACCUAUAAGACUGGGAUAACUUCGGGAAACCGGAGCUAAUACCGGAUAAUAUUUCGAACCGCAUGGUUCGAUAGUGAAAGAUGGCUUUGCUAUCACUUAUAGAUGGACCUGCGCCGUAUUAGCUAGUUGGUAAGGUAACGGCUUACCAAGGCAACGAUACGUAGCCGACCUGAGAGGGUGAUCGCCCACACUGGGACUGAGACACGGCCCAG
RNAcentral lists this ribosomal RNA (244 nucleotides) under uncultured Staphylococcus sp. RNAcentral describes it as "partial 16S ribosomal RNA". It matches the Rfam family "Bacterial small subunit ribosomal RNA", at positions 96 to 334 of the family's 1533-position model. Lineage: Bacteria; Bacillati; Bacillota; Bacilli; Caryophanales; Staphylococcaceae. The record is from RNAcentral.